Molecule: long non-coding RNA, 332 nt
Organism: Esox lucius (northern pike)
Lineage: Eukaryota; Metazoa; Chordata; Actinopteri; Esociformes; Esocidae
Exons: 4
Source: RefSeq, a predicted model, not a curated record
GAAAGAAAAACAAACUCAACCCGGCUCGACACUUUUUCGAAAGCACAAGACUAAGAGUGAGAACAAGAAAAAGGUUAUAUUAUUAUGACAGAGGGCUUCGUUGCGGCUUUGCCUUCGUCCUCGUCAUCUGGAUCACGUGAGAAAAAAAAAAGAAAAAGGAAAAUUAAGAGAAUUAAAAAGCCCUGUGUCUGGUGAGAUAACCCAUAAACCCACGUGCACCCUCAGGAGACUGUCGUCUUCCACAGAAAACAUCGGUAAUGUCGUUACAUUGCAGCAACUCUGCAGCAGAUUCCGGAGAGUCAAAGAUGAAGACCUACAGUAUGUCCUCGGGA